Molecule: ribosomal RNA, 484 nt
Filed under: uncultured bacterium
Lineage: Bacteria
Description: partial 16S ribosomal RNA
Rfam family: Bacterial small subunit ribosomal RNA
Source: RNAcentral
AUUGAACGCUGGCGGCAGGCCUAACACAUGCAAGUCGAGCGGAUGAAGGGAGCUUGCUCCUGGAUUCAGCGGCGGACGGGUGAGUAAUGCCUAUGAAUCUGCCUGGUAGUGGGGGAUAACGUCCGGAAACGGGCGCUAAUACCGCAUACGUCCUGAGGGAGCAAGUGGGGGAUCUUCGGACCUCACGCUAUCAUAUUAGCCUAGGUCGGAUUAGCUAGUUGGUGGGGUAAAGGCCUACCAAGGCGACGAUCCGUAACUGGUCUGAGAGGAUGAUCAGUCACAUUGGAACUGAGAAACGGUACAGACUCCUACGGGAGGCAGCAGUGGGGAAUAUUGGACAAUGGGCGAAAGGCUGAUCCAGCCAAGUCGCGUGUGUGAAGAAGGUCUUAUGAUUGGAAAGCAAUGUAAGUUGGGAGGAAGGGAAGUAAGUUCAUACCUUGCUGUUUUGACGUUACCAACAGAAUAAGCACCGGCUAACUUCGUG